AGUGAACGCUGGCGGUAGGCCUAACACAUGCAAGUCGAACGGCAGCACAGUAAGAGCUUGCUCUUACGGGUGGCGAGUGGCGGACGGGUGAGGAAUACAUCGGAAUCUACUUUUUCGUGGGGGAUAACGUAGGGAAGCUUACGCUAAUACCGCAUACGACCUACGGGUGAAAGCAGGGGAUCUUCGGACCUUGCGCGAUUGAAUGAGCCGCUGUCGGAUUAGCUAGUUGGCGGGGUAAAGGCCCACCAAGGCGACGAUCCGUAGCUGGUCUGAGAGGAUGGUCAGCCACACUGGAACUGAGACACGGUCCAGACGCCUACGGGAGGCAGCAGUGGGGAAUAUUGGACAAUGGGCGCAAGCCUGAUCCAGCCAUACCGCGUGGGUGAAGAAGGCCUUCGGGUUGUAAAGCCCUUUUGUUGGGAAAGAAAAGCAGCAGGUUAAUACCCCGCUGUUCUGACGGUACCCAAAGAAUAAGCACCGGCUAACUUCGUG
Molecule: ribosomal RNA, 492 nt
Filed under: uncultured bacterium
Lineage: Bacteria
Description: partial 16S ribosomal RNA
Rfam family: Bacterial small subunit ribosomal RNA
Source: RNAcentral